AGAGUUGAUCAUGGCUCAGGACGAACGCUGGCGGCGUGCCUAACACAUGCAAGUCGAACGAGAAUCUAAGGAACGGAGCUUCGGCAAAGGGAAUUAGAGGACAGUGGCGGACGGGUGAGUAACGCGUGAGCAACCUGCCCUUCGGAGGGGGACAACAGCUGGAAACGGCUGCUAAUACCGCAUGACAUAUACUGACGGCAUCGUCGGUAUAUCAAAGAUUUAUCGCCGAAGGAUGGGCUCGCGUCUGAUUAGCUGGUUGGUGGGUAACGGCCUACCAAGGCGACGAUCAGUAGCCGGACUGAGAGGUUGAACGGCCACAUUGGGACUGAGAUACGGCCCAGACUCCUACGGGAGGCAGCAGUGGGGAAUAUUGGGCAAUGGGGGCAACCCUGACCCAGCAACGCCGCGUGAAGGAAGAAGGCUUUCGGGUUGUAAACUUCUUUGACGAGGGACGAAAAAUGACGGUACCUCGAAAACAAGCCACGGCUAACUACGUGCCAGCAGCUGC
Molecule: ribosomal RNA, 508 nt
Filed under: uncultured bacterium
Lineage: Bacteria
Description: bacterial SSU rRNA
Rfam family: Bacterial small subunit ribosomal RNA
Source: RNAcentral